AGCGCCACGAGUGGGGGUCGAUUUUAUUGGGCUUAAAGCGUUCGUAGCCGGCUUGGUCAAUCCUUUGUGAAAUCGUUACUAUCAACGUAACGGCGCGCUGAGGACACUGCCAAGCUUGGAACCGGGAGGGGUCAGAGGUAUGCCUGGGGGAGCGGUAAAAUGUUAUAAUCCUAGGUGGACCACCUUUGGCGAAGGCGUCUGACUAGAACGGGUUCGACGGUGAGGAACGAAAGCUGGGGGAGCGAUCC
Molecule: ribosomal RNA, 248 nt
Filed under: uncultured euryarchaeote
Lineage: Archaea; Methanobacteriati; Methanobacteriota
Description: partial 16S ribosomal RNA
Rfam family: Archaeal small subunit ribosomal RNA
Source: RNAcentral